RNAcentral lists this ribosomal RNA (253 nucleotides) under uncultured bacterium. RNAcentral describes it as "partial 16S ribosomal RNA". It matches the Rfam family "Bacterial small subunit ribosomal RNA", at positions 524 to 776 of the family's 1533-position model. The record is from RNAcentral.
UACAUAGGGUGCAAGCGUUAAUCGGAAUUACUGGGCGUAAAGCGCGCGUAGGUGGUUUGUUAAGUUGGAUGUGAAAUCCCCGGGCUCAACCUGGGAACUGCAUUCAAAACUGACAAGCUAGAGUAUGGUAGAGGGUGGUGGAAUUUCCUGUGUAGCGGUGAAAUGCGUAGAUAUAGGAAGGAACACCAGUGGCGAAGGCGACCACCUGGACUGAUACUGACACUGAGGUGCGAAAGCGUGGGGAGCAAACAGG